UCCCUCAUUGCUGUUGAGCUGUUGCUUUUGAGGGACAUCUUCAUGCCACUGUCCCCAAGUGGAGUCUUUAUUUACAGUUUCAGGAGUGAGGCUAAAGCCAGAAAUGUGUGACCUUUUGGCCUCCUACCGGAAAGGUCACCACCUAGCCGGGUUUAGCAAAUGCUGGUGAAAAGAAAGGGCGAGAUCACCAAGAUUUUCCAGGGCUACUGUAUUGCUGUUUCCGUUUUAAUUUGCUUCCACUUACUAAGAAGCUUCAAAUCUAACUCCACACUGGACCAAGGAUUUUAUACCAUCACCUGUGAUGUGGAAUAUUUUAAAUAUGAUGUUCAAGGCAACAGUGCAUAAUACUUGAGGAAAAAGCAAUGAAAGGUUAUUGCUGUUGUCAUUUGCCUAGAAUUUAACAGUGAUUGGCUCAAAAAUUAGACAUAGAUUGAAAUCAUCUGAGAAGAGAACUUCUGAAUAAUUUCAUUCAUUUCGUUAUUUGAUAGAGUGAUCCCUGGGCCAGGAGGAGAACAGGACAGACGGGAGACAACAAUUGAAAGACUUUGGAGACAGAGCUGGUGCUUACAGAGGCCUGUCACUCCUGUGGUCACUUACAAUUUCCCGCAACAAAAGGACUUCUGUGGCAAGGAGAGGAUUAGUCUAAAGUUUAGAAAAGUCUCCAGGGAAGGUGGUUUCUUGGAUAAAGUUGUCAACAAAAGGAGUCUUGCUUAAGACUCUUUGUUAUGAUUUCUUGGGGGCGCUUCUUCCUUCACUAACUGGAUUGUCAAAACACAUUACCACCCCAUCCCAGCCAGAUUUUGGGAGUUUGGAUUGAGCUGCUGGUUAGAAUUAAAUUUCAGGCUGUCUCCUUCUACUGAAUCCUAAUUGUCUGUGAUGACAGCAAAAGUGAUGAGUAAUCUCAGCUCUGAUUUGAUGGCAGAGAUACUGAAUAGAUAGAUAAGAGCAAAGAGUUCCAAAGCUGUAAUUCAAGUCCUGUUGCACCAUGAGAUACACAUGCUUGUGUGCACACACAUAAGCCUCAAAUAAAAUGAGAGAUCUGUCUCGGCUAA
Molecule: long non-coding RNA, 1052 nt
Organism: Balaenoptera ricei (Rice's whale)
Lineage: Eukaryota; Metazoa; Chordata; Mammalia; Artiodactyla; Balaenopteridae
Exons: 3
Source: RefSeq, a predicted model, not a curated record